UAACUUCCCCAGGGUAUGAGUUAAGGUAAGUCUAUUGCAUUGUAAAUGGUGAAUCCGGUGCAAUUCCGGGCGGUCGCGCCACUGUUACAGUCAGACCACUGCUUAUGGUGCAGCUUCUAA
RNAcentral lists this non-coding RNA (120 nucleotides) under Corynebacterium mustelae. Lineage: Bacteria; Bacillati; Actinomycetota; Actinomycetes; Mycobacteriales; Corynebacteriaceae. The record is from RNAcentral.